RNAcentral lists this ribosomal RNA (514 nucleotides) under uncultured Eubacteriales bacterium. RNAcentral's name for it is "uncultured Clostridiales bacterium partial 16S ribosomal RNA". The record is from RNAcentral. Lineage: Bacteria; Bacillati; Bacillota; Clostridia; Eubacteriales.
CACGUAGUUAGCCGGGGCUUCUUACUCAGGUACCGUCAUUUCUUUCCUCCCUGCUGAUAGAGCUUUACAUACCGAAAUACUUCUUCACUCACGCGGCGUCGCUGGAUCAGGGUUUCCCCCAUUGUCCAAUAUCCCCCACUGCUGCCUCCCGUAGGAGUUUGGGCCGUGUCUCAGUCCCAAUGUGGCCGUCCACCCUCUCAGGCCGGCUACUGAUCGUCGCCUUGGUGGGCCGUUACCCCGCCAACCAGCUAAUCAGACGCGGGUCCAUCUUACACCACUAAUGUUUUUCACUCUGUCCCAUGCGGGACUGUGCGCUUAUGCGGUAUUAGCACCUAUUUCUAAGUGUUAUCCCCCUGUGUAAGGCAGGUUACCCACGCGUUACUCACCCGUCCGCCACUAAGUUAUCAACUUUUCCACUCUUAGCAAGCUAAUCGCUUCAAAAAUGAUAACUCCGUUCGACUUGCAUGUGUUAAGCACGCCGCCAGCGUUCAUCCUGAGCCAGGAUCAAACUCUA